RNAcentral lists this ribosomal RNA (497 nucleotides) under uncultured bacterium. RNAcentral's name for it is "partial 16S ribosomal RNA". It matches the Rfam family "Bacterial small subunit ribosomal RNA", at positions 28 to 507 of the family's 1533-position model. The record is from RNAcentral.
GAUGAACGCUGGCGGCGUGCCUAAUACAUGCAAGUCGAGCGAACAGAUGAGGAGCUUGCUCCUCUGACGUUAGCGGCGGACGGGUGAGUAACACGUGGAUAACCUACCUAUAAGACUGGGAUAACUUCGGGAAACCGGAGCUACUACCGGAUAAUAUAUUGAACCGCAUGGUUCAAUAGUGAAAGACGGUUUUGCUGUCACUUAUAGAUGGAUCCGCGCCGCAUUAGCUAGUUGGUAAGGUAACGGCUUACCAAGGCGACGAUGCGUAGCCGACCUGAGAGGGUGAUCGGCCACACUGGAACUGAGACACGGUCCAGACUCCUACGGGAGGCAGCAGUAGGGAAUCUUCCGCAAUGGGCGAAAGCCUGACGGAGCAACGCCGCGUGAGUGAUGAAGGUCUUCGGAUCGUAAAACUCUGUUAUUAGGGAAGAACAAAUGUGUAAGUAACUAUGCACGUCUUGACGGUACCUAAUCAGAAAGCCACGGCUAACUACGUG